RNAcentral lists this non-coding RNA (24 nucleotides) under Arabidopsis thaliana (thale cress). The record is from RNAcentral. Lineage: Eukaryota; Viridiplantae; Streptophyta; Magnoliopsida; Brassicales; Brassicaceae.
UUUAAGACUUCGGGUUCGGAUCGG